CCUACGGGUGGCAGCAGUCGGGAAUAUUGCGCAAUGGAGGAAACUCUGACGCAGUGAUGCCGCGUGCAGGAAGAUGGUUUUUGGAUUGUAAACUGCUUUAGACAGGGAAGAAAAAAGACAGUACGUGUAGAAUAAGCUCCGGCUAACUACGUGCCAGCAGCUGCGGUAGUACGGAGGGAGGAAGCGUUAUCCGGAUUUCAUGGGUGUAAAGGGUGCGUAGACGUAGAAGCAGGUUAGUGGUGAAAUCCCUCGGCUAAACGGAGGAACUGCAACUAAAACUACUUCCCUUGAUUACUGGAGAGGAAAGUGGAAUGUCUAGUGUAGCGGUGAAAUGCGUAGAUAUUAGGAGGAACACCAGUGGCGAAGGCGACUUUCUGGACAGUAACUGACGUUGAGGCACGAAAGUGUGGGUAGCAAACAGGAUUAGAUACCCUUGUAGUC
Molecule: ribosomal RNA, 441 nt
Filed under: uncultured bacterium
Lineage: Bacteria
Description: partial 16S ribosomal RNA
Rfam family: Bacterial small subunit ribosomal RNA
Source: RNAcentral